CAGUAGCCACGGUAAUACGUAGGGUGCAAGCGUUAUACGGAAUUACUGGGCGUAAAGCGUGCGUAGGCGGUGAGUUAAGUCUGCUGUGAAAUCCCCGGGCUCAACCUGGGAAUGGCAAUGGAUACUGGCAAGCUAGAGUGUGUCAGAGGAUGGUGGAAUUCCCGGUGUAGCGGUGAAAUGCGUAGAGAUCGGGAGGAACAUCAGUGGCGAAGGCGGCCAUCUGGGACAACACUGACGCUGAGGCACGAAAGCGUGGGGAGCAAACAGGAUUAGAUACCCGUGUAGUCCCUGUCUCUUAUAC
RNAcentral lists this ribosomal RNA (301 nucleotides) under uncultured bacterium. RNAcentral's name for it is "partial 16S ribosomal RNA". It matches the Rfam family "Bacterial small subunit ribosomal RNA", at positions 509 to 807 of the family's 1533-position model. The record is from RNAcentral.